ACUUCCAACGCGAUGACGCACACUAUCCCUUUUCCGUCCCUCAACCAUGCUCUGAAGCGCCUGAAGCAAAAUCACGAGCGUCGCCAUGAUCACAUGCUUCAGCUCACCACCACCAUCGUCUUCGUCGUUGAUCUUGAAACGUAUUGGAGAGAGACGCGGGUUCACCGAUGAAACGAAGAUUUGUCAUCUCAGUAUCGCGUCUACGUCGUGACUUACCGCAUCAAAAGAAUCGUGUUUGUCUUCCACUCGUCGUCGAUUUGCAUCGCGAAAUCAAGACGCAUCGCGGAUUGAAGCAAGACAAAGGAGACUCACUUGUUCGAAAUGCUUGAUUUGAGUUGAUUGAGCGUGUGAAAUCGGAACUCCGGCAUAGUGAUUCUUCGAUGGAUUUAGAGGGUGGCGACACUUUGUUGCAGAACCGAUGAAAAUCAAUUGCAGGAUGAAGAACUUUUUCUGCUGCAUAGAGAAGAAGAUUGAAGGAGGCGAUUGAAGAGGGAUUGAAGAUUGGAAAAGGUUGAAGAAAUGAUUGAAGAUCGGAAAAGGUUGAAGAAAUGAUUGAAGAUGAGGAUUGAUGAAGAUAUGGAAGAAAAAUUAUGCAGAAAAACUGUACGUGAGGUAUUUAUAGAAUCUAAAGUUAACGGAGGAAACUCACACUAGUAGUUAUCGUAGGCUAAGUUGGUUGAAGGUUAAUCUUCUGUUAGCUGAGUUUAUAAUUUCUGUUAUAGAUCUUUGAAGUUAGUUGGGACCAAAUUGUAUUUCUGUUAAUAAAUUGAAAUUCUUUUUCGUUGA
This is a long non-coding RNA of Lathyrus oleraceus (garden pea), 786 nucleotides long. RefSeq lists it as uncharacterized. Lineage: Eukaryota; Viridiplantae; Streptophyta; Magnoliopsida; Fabales; Fabaceae. The record is from RefSeq and is a predicted model, not a curated record. The transcript is spliced from 2 exons.